Molecule: RNase P RNA, 362 nt
Filed under: Tannerella sp.
Lineage: Bacteria; Pseudomonadati; Bacteroidota; Bacteroidia; Bacteroidales; Tannerellaceae
Description: RNase P RNA component class A
Rfam family: Bacterial RNase P class A
About the family: Ribonuclease P (RNase P) is a ubiquitous endoribonuclease, found in archaea, bacteria and eukarya as well as chloroplasts and mitochondria.
Source: RNAcentral
GCAGCAGGCCGGUCUGUCGCUCGUCCCUGGGACGGGAGGAAAGUCCGGGCAACACAGAGCACCAUCCUUCCUAACGGGAAGCUGUUCGCGAGGGCAGAGUAGCGUAACAGAAAAGAACCGCCGCCUCUGCGGAUGGCGGUAAGGGUGAAAAGGUGAGGUAAGAGCUUACCGCUCCCGUCGGAAUACGGGGGGACAGUACGCCUGAUGGGUUGUAAGGUCAUGUACACCGGCGCAGCAGGAUGGCUCGUCCAAUGUCGGGGGGUAGACCGCAAGAGCGUGCCGGCGACGGUACGCGAAGAUAAAUGACAGACACUGCCGUUGGGUCGGCAGUACAGAACCCGGCUUACAGGCCGGCUGCAAUU